CCUACGGGCGGCAGCAGUGGGGAAUAUUGGGCAAUGGGCGCAAGCCUGACCCAGCAACGCCGCGUGAAGGAAGAAGGCUUUCGGGUUGUAAACUUCUUUUUUCAGGGACGAAGCACGUGACGGUACCUGCGGAAUAAGCCACGGCUAACUACGUGCCAGCAGCCGCGGUAAUACGUCGGUGGCAAGCGUUAUCCGGAUUUACUGGGUGUAAAGGGAGUGUAGGCGGGAAAGCAAGUCAGAUGUGAAAACUAUGGGCUCAACCUGUGGCUUGCAUUUGAAACUGGUUUUCUUGAGUACUGGGGAGGCAGACGGAAUUCCUGGUGUAGCGGUGAAAUGCUUAGAUAUUAGGAGGAACACCAGUUGCGAAGGCAGUCUGCUGGACAGCAACUGACGCUGAGGCGCGAAAGCGUGGGUAGCAAACAGGAUUAGAUACCCGUGUAGUC
This 443-nucleotide ribosomal RNA is filed under the name uncultured bacterium. Its description in RNAcentral is "partial 16S ribosomal RNA". It matches the Rfam family "Bacterial small subunit ribosomal RNA", at positions 338 to 795 of the family's 1533-position model. The record is from RNAcentral.